GGUGGCUCAGUGGUAGAGCACUUGCCUACCAUGCAACAAGGCUCCAGGUUCAAUCCCCGACCUCUCCA
Non-coding RNA from Podarcis lilfordi (Lilford's wall lizard), 68 nucleotides. Lineage: Eukaryota; Metazoa; Chordata; Lepidosauria; Squamata; Lacertidae. The record is from the annotation of a GenBank genome assembly.